Molecule: non-coding RNA, 135 nt
Filed under: Pan troglodytes (chimpanzee)
Lineage: Eukaryota; Metazoa; Chordata; Mammalia; Primates; Hominidae
Description: Eukaryotic large subunit ribosomal RNA
Rfam family: Eukaryotic large subunit ribosomal RNA
Source: Rfam by way of RNAcentral
CCUAAAAGAUGGUGAACUAUGCCUGAGCAGAGGAAAGCCACAGGAAACUCGGUGGAGGUUUGUAGUGGUCCUGAUGUGCAGAUCGGUCAUCUGACCUGGGUAUAAGAGUGAAAGGCGGAAUCUUCUAGUAGUUGG